Molecule: ribosomal RNA, 900 nt
Filed under: Cladosporium sp.
Lineage: Eukaryota; Fungi; Ascomycota; Dothideomycetes; Cladosporiales; Cladosporiaceae
Description: partial large subunit ribosomal RNA
Rfam family: Eukaryotic large subunit ribosomal RNA
Source: RNAcentral
UAGCAUAUCAAUAAGCGGAGGAAAAGAAACCAACAGGGAUUGCCCUAGUAACGGCGAGUGAAGCGGCAACAGCUCAAAUUUGAAAUCUGGCUCUCGGGCCCGAGUUGUAAUUUGUAGAGGAUACUUUUGAUGCGGUGCCUUCCGAGUUCCCUGGAACGGGACGCCAUAGAGGGUGAGAGCCCCGUCUGGUUGGAUGCCAAAUCUCUGUAAAGUUCCUUCAACGAGUCGAGUAGUUUGGGAAUGCUGCUCUAAAUGGGAGGUAUAUGUCUUCUAAAGCUAAAUACCGGCCAGAGACCGAUAGCGCACAAGUAGAGUGAUCGAAAGAUGAAAAGCACUUUGAAAAGAGAGUUAAAAAGUACGUGAAAUUGUUGAAAGGGAAGCGUUUAUGACCAGACUUGGGCUUGGUUAAUCAUCUGGGGUUCUCCCCAGUGCACUUUUCCAGUCCAGGCCAGCAUCAGUUUUCCCCGGGGGAUAAAGGCGGCGGGAAUGUGGCUCUCUUCGGGGAGUGUUAUAGCCCACCGUGUAAUACCCUGGGGGGGACUGAGGUUCGCGCAUCUGCAAGGAUGCUGGCGUAAUGGUCAUCAACGACCCGUCUUGAAACACGGACCAAGGAGUCGUCUUCGUAUGCGAGUGUUCGGGUGUCAAACCCCUACGCGUAAUGAAAGUGAACGCAGGUGAGAGCUUCGGCGCAUCAUCGACCGAUCCUGAUGUUCUCGGAUGGAUUUGAGUAAGAGCAUACGGGGCCGGACCCGAAAGAAGGUGAACUAUGCCUGUAUAGGGUGAAGCCAGAGGAAACUCUGGUGGAGGCUCGCAGCGGUUCUGACGUGCAAAUCGAUCGUCAAAUAUGGGCAUGGGGGGCGAAAGACUAAUCGAACCUUCUAGUAGCUGGUUUCCGCCGAU